Molecule: long non-coding RNA, 1074 nt
Filed under: Bos indicus x Bos taurus (hybrid cattle)
Lineage: Eukaryota; Metazoa; Chordata; Mammalia; Artiodactyla; Bovidae
Description: lncRNA (ENSBIXG00000005940.1)
Source: RNAcentral
AAGUAAUCCAAGUCUAUGCCCCAACCAGUAAUGCUGAAGAAGCUGAAGUUGAACGGUUCUAUGAAGACCUACAAGACCUUUUAGAACGAACACCCAAAAAAGAUGUCCUUUUCAUUAUAGGGGCCUGGAAUGCAAAAGUAGGAAGUCAAGAAACACCUGGAGUAACAGGCAAAUUUGGCCUUGGAAUAUGGAAUGAAGCAGGGCAAAGACUAAGAGAGUUUUGCCAAGAAAAUGCACUGGUCAUAGCAAACACCCUCUCCCAAAAACACAAGAGAAGACUCUACACAUGGACAUCACCAGAUGGUCAACACCGAAACCAGAUUGAUUAUAUUCUUUGCAGCCAAAGAUAGAGAAGCUCUAUAUGGUCAACAAAAACAAGAGCAGGAGCUGACUGUUGGCUCAGAUCAUGAACUCUUUAUUGCCAAAUUCAGACUGAAAUUGAAGAAAGUAGGGAAAACCACUAGACCAUUCAGGGAUGACCUAAAUCAAAUCCCUUAUGAUUAUACAGAAGAAGUGAGAAAUAGAUUUAAGGGACUAGAUCUGAUAGAUAGAGUGCCUGAUGAACUAUGGAUGGAGGUUCGUGACACUGUACAAGAGACAGGGAUCAAGACCAUCCCCAUGGAAAAGAAAUGCAAAAAAGCAAAAUGGCUAUCUGAGGAGGCCUUACAAAUAGCUGUGAAAAGAAGAGAAGCGAAAAGCAAAGGAGAAAGGGAAAGAUAUAAGCAUCUGAAUGCAGAGUUCCAAAGAAUAGCAAGAAGAUAUAAGAAAGCCUUCCUCAGCGAUCAAUGCAAAGAAAUAGAGGAAAACAACAGAAUGGGAAAGAUUAGAGAUCUCUUCAAGAAAAUCAGAGAUACCAAGGGAACAUUUUAUGCAAAGAUGGGCUCAAUAAAGGACAGAAAUGAUAUGGACCUAACAGAAGCAGAAGAUAUUAAGAAGAGGUGGCAGAAAUACACAGAAGAACUAUACAAAAAGGAUCUUCAUGACCAAAAUAAUCACAAUGGUGUUAUCACUGACCUAGAGCCAGACAUCCUGGAAUGUGAAGUCAAGUGGGCCUUACAAAGCAUCACUAUGAAC